CACACCGCCCGUCACACCACGAAAGCUCACUGUACCAGAAGUCACCAUUACCAACCCGCAAGGGAGGGAGGUGCCCAAGGUAUGAUGGGUGAUUGGGGUG
This 100-nucleotide ribosomal RNA is filed under the name uncultured bacterium. RNAcentral's name for it is "partial 16S ribosomal RNA". It matches the Rfam family "Bacterial small subunit ribosomal RNA", at positions 1386 to 1482 of the family's 1533-position model. The record is from RNAcentral.